RNAcentral lists this ribosomal RNA (309 nucleotides) under Uduba sp. CG301. RNAcentral's name for it is "partial 12S ribosomal RNA". Lineage: Eukaryota; Metazoa; Arthropoda; Arachnida; Araneae; Udubidae. The record is from RNAcentral.
UACUAGUAAUAAACAAAACCUAACUUCCAUUGGCGGCUUUAAUUUUAUUAGAGGAACUUGUCUUAUAAUCGAUAAUCCACGUUAAAUUUUACUUUUUUAUAAAUUUAUAUACCGCCGUCUAAAGAAAUUUUUAAUAAAAUUUUUCAAAAAAAAAAAUAAAAAGUUAGGUCAAGGUGUAGUCCACAUUUAAGAAAAGAUGAGUUACACUAAAUUUAAUUUAAGGAAAUUUUAUAUAAACAUAUUUUUAAAAAAGGAUUUAUUAGUAAUAUUUAAUUAAUAUUAUUAAAAUAUGAAAUUAUUAAUAAGUGC